GCCCAGGCAACAUAUAAAAGAGGAGAAGUUCCGCGCGUGGCCCAGUGGGAAGCGGGACGCGAAGUGCUGUCGGCAGCGAUACUGAAGAGAAAGUUUUAGAUCCCGAGUGAAUCUAUCUUUUGAGUCUGUAAUCGCUCUGCCAACAUGCCCGGCCACGUUAAGAAGAGCACGGGUCCCGACCCCGAUCCCACUGAAUACCUUUUCAUCUCUCGGGAGCAGAGGAUGAAGGAUCAGGCGAAGCCUUAUGAUCCUAAGAAGUCCUACUGGUGUCCUGAUCCCGAUGAGGGCUUCGUCGAGUGUGAGCUUCAAGGUCCGAAGGGAGACAAGCUGGUAACAGUCAAGGUUCCCAGCGGCGAGAUGAAGGACUUCAAGAAGGAGCAGGUCGGACAGGUCAACCCUCCCAAGUACGAGAAGUGUGAGGAUGUGUCCAACCUGACCUUCCUCAACGAUCCCUCCGUCUUCUACGUCCUCAAGUCCCGUUACCAGGCCAAGCUUAUCUACACCUACUCUGGUCUCUUCUGUAUCGCCGUCAACCCCUACAAGCGUUACCCCAUCUACACCAACCGUGCCGUCAAGAUCUACAUGGGCAAGAGGCGUAAUGAGGUGCCCCCUCAUCUCUUCGCCAUCUGCGACGGUGCUUACCAGAACAUGAGCCAAGAACGCCAGAACCAGUCUAUGCUUAUCACCGGUGAGUCUGGUGCCGGUAAGACUGAGAACACGAAGAAGGUGCUGUCUUACUUCGCCAAUGUGGGUGCCAGCGAGAAGAAAGAAGGCGAAAAUAAACAGAACCUGGAAGACCAGAUCAUCCAAACCAACCCUAUCCUUGAGGCCUAUGGUAACGCCAAGACUACACGUAACGACAAUUCAUCUCGUUUCGGUAAAUUCAUUCGCGUCCACUUCGCUCCCAACGGCAAGCUUUCCGGCGCUGAUAUCGAGGUCUACCUGCUGGAGAAGGCUCGUGUCAUCUCCCAGUCCCCCGCCGAGCGAGGCUACCAUAUCUUCUACCAGCUCAUGUGCGACCAGAUUGAUUAUAUGAAGAAGAUGUGCUUAUUGUCCGAUGAUAUUUACGACUACCAUUACGAGGCUCAGGGCAAGGUUACCGUCCCAUCAAUUGACGACAAGGAAGACAUGCAGUUCACCCAUGAAGCCUUCGAUAUCCUGAACUUCUCUAACGAAGAAAGGGAUAACUGCUACAAGAUCACUGCUAGUGUCAUGCACCAUGGUAACAUGAAGUUCAAGCAAAGGGGUCGUGAGGAGCAGGCUGAACCUGAUGGCACUGAGGCUGGAGAAAUUGUUGCCAAGUUGCUCGGUGUUGACGCCGAGGAGCUCUACAGGAACUUCUGCAAGCCCAAGAUCAAGGUCGGUGCCGAGUUCGUCACCAAGGGUAUGGGCGUCGAUGCUGUCAACUACAACAUCGGUGCCAUGGCCAAGGGUCUCUUCUCGCGUGUGUUCUCAUGGCUCGUCAAGAAGUGUAACAUGACACUCGAGACUGGCCAGACUCGCGCCAUGUUCAUCGGUGUGCUCGAUAUUGCUGGCUUUGAAAUCUUCGACUUCAACGGUUUCGAGCAGAUCUGCAUCAACUUCUGUAACGAGAAGCUGCAGCAGUUCUUCAACCAUCACAUGUUCGUGCUGGAACAGGAAGAAUACGCAAAGGAGGGUAUUGUGUGGCAGUUCGUCGACUUCGGCAUGGAUUUGCAGGCUUGCAUUGAACUCUUCGAGAAGAAAAUGGGUCUCCUCUCCAUCCUUGAGGAAGAGUCCAUGUUCCCCAAGGCCACUGACAAGACCUUCGAGGAGAAGCUGAACAACAACCAUCUCGGAAAAUCUCGUUGCUUCAUCAAGCCCAAACCUCCAAAGCCCGGCCAGCCUGAGAACCACUUUGCCAUUGUUCACUACGCUGGCACUGUGUCCUACAACCUGACUGGCUGGCUUGAGAAGAAUAAGGAUCCUCUCAACGACACCGUCGUCGACCAGCUCAAGAAGGCCUCCAACGCCCUCACAGUCGAGAUCUUCGCUGACCAUCCCGGCCAGUCUGGUGAUGCAGGCGGCAAAGGUAAAGGUGGCAAGCAACAGACCGGUUUCAAGACUGUAUCAUCUGGCUACAAGGAUCAGCUUGCCAACCUGAUGAAGACUCUCAACGCUACUCAUCCUCACUUCAUCCGUUGCAUUGUGCCCAACGAAUUCAAGAAGCCUGGCGCUGUCGAUGCUGGCCUCAUCAUGCAUCAACUUACCUGUAAUGGUGUACUUGAGGGCAUCCGUAUUUGUCAGAAGGGCUUCCCCAACAGGAUGCCUUAUCCUGACUUUAAACUACGAUACAACAUCCUGGCCGCCCAAGAGAUGCUCGAAGCGAAGGACGACAAGAAGGCAGCUGAAGCCUGCUUCCAAAGGGCCGGUCUUGAUCCCGAAUUGUAUCGCUGCGGUAACACCAAGGUAUUCUUCCGUGCCGGUGUCUUGGGUAGACUUGAGGAGAUCCGCGAAGACCGCGUGGUCAAGCUUCUCACCUGGUUCCAAGCAUGGGUUCGUGGUUACAUCAGCCGCAAAUUCUAUUCCAAGAUGCAGAAGCAGCGCACUGCUCUCCUCGUUGUGCAGCGCAACCUUAGGAAGUUUAAGAUCAUGCGUGCUUGGCUCUGGUAUGAACUGUGGAUCAAGCUCAAGCCUAAGCUCUGCGCAACUCGUGCUGAGGAUGAGAUCGCUAAGCUGGAAGAGAUUGCCGAGAAGGCCGAGGCUGAAUUCGAAAAGGAGGUCAAGGUCCGCGAAGAACUCGAAAUCAAGAAUGCCGCUCUUCUCGAGGAGCGAGCUGAGCUCAUGCUGGCUCUUGAAUCCUCCAAAGGCGGCAUGUCUGAAUACCUGGACAAACAAGCCAAACUGCAAGCACAGAAAGCAGAACUUGAAGGACAACUUAAUGAAACCUUGGAACGCCUUCGCAAAGAGGAAGAGGCACGCAACCAAAUCGCUAAUGGCAAGAAGAAAUGCGAACAAGAGGUUACAAACCUUAAGAAAGAUCUUGAGGAACUUGAACUUCUUGUUCAGAAGGGCGAGCAGGACAAGAUCACCAAAGAAGAGCAGAUCCACAACCUCAAUGAAGAGAUUGCUCAUCAAGAAGAACUCGUCACCAAGGUCAACAAGGAGAAGAAGCACCUUCAGGAAUGCAAUCAAAAGACUGCCGAGGAUAUCCAGUGUAUUGAGGACAAGUGCAACCACCUUAGCAAGAUGAAGACUAAGUUGGAGUCCACCCUUGACGAACUCGAGGAUUCUCUUGAGCGUGAGAAGAAGCUUCGUGCUGAGGUUGAGAAGUCCAAGAGGAAGGUAGAGGGUGACCUCAAACUGACUCAAGAAGCUGUUUCCGAUCUGGAACGUAACUACAAAGAACUCGAAGUGGCAGUAGAACGUAAGGACAAAGAGGUUGCUGCCAUUACAGCCAAAAUCGAGGAUGAACAAGCAUUGGUGUACAGGGACCAGAGGCAGAUCAAGGAACUCCAGUCUCGCCUUGAAGAACUCGAGGAAGAAGUCGAACAUGAACGUCAGGCACGCAGCAAGGCUGAAAAGGCCAAGACUCUCCUUUCACGUGAACUGGGAGACCUUAGUGAGCGACUGGACGAGGCCGGCGGUGCCACAGCCUUGAGUGAAGCGAAGUGACGCGUAAGAAGCAUAAUGACGCUGUAGCUGAGAUGUCCGAACAGAUUGAUUACCUUAAUAAGAUGAAAGCUAGAGCUGAGAAGGACAAAGAAGCCAUGAAACGUGACGCUGAUGACGCCAAGGCUUCCAUGGAUUCCCUCCUUCGUGAUAAGACCGCUGCUGAGAAGACCACCAAACAGCUUCAGCACCAAUAUGGUGAGAUUUGCGCCAAGCUUGAUGAAGUUAACCGCACUUUGAGCGACUAUGAUGCCACCAAGAAGAAGCUUGCCUGCGAAAAUGCUGAUCUCAUUCGUCAGCUGGAGGAGGCUGAGAGCCAGGUCAGCCAGCUCUCCAGGGUCAAGCUUUCCCUUACGAAUCAGCUCGAUGACACCAGGAAACUCUCUGAAGAAGAGGGCAGGGCACGUGCCACACUCCUUGGUAAGUUCCGCAACUUGGAACACGACAUUCAGACUCUUCGUCAACAACUUGAUGAGGAGAACGAAGCCAAGGGGGAUGUUCUGCGCAUGCUCUCCAAGGCCAAUGCCGAGGCUCUCAUGUGGCGCUCCAAGUACGAGUCUGAGGGCGUUGCCCGCGCAGAGGAAAUUGAGGCUGCGCGCAUGAAGCUCGCAGCUCGUCUCGAGGAAGCCGAAAUGCAGAUUGAGUCUCUCAAUGUUAAGAAUUUGCAUCUGGAGAAGACCAAGAUACGUGCUGCUGCUGAGCUGGAUGACCUCCAAGUCGCUGCUGAACGUGCACAGACUCUGGCCAACUCUGCUGAGAAGAAACAGAAGAACUUUGAUAAGAUCAUCUCCGAGUGGAAGCUGAAGGUCGAAGACCUUGCUGCUGAGUUUGAUGCUUCUCAGAAGGAAUGCCGCAACUACGCCACCGAACACUUCCGACUGAAGGCUGCCAAUGAUGAAAACAUUGAACAACUCGAUGCUAUACGCCGCGAGAACAAGAAUCUUAAUGAUGAAAUCAGAGAUUUGAUGGACCAGAUCGGUGAGGGCGGCCGAGCGUACCAUGAGGCUCAGAAGAACGCCAAGCGCCUUGAACUUGAGAAGGAAGAGCUUCAGGCUGCUCUUGAGGAAGCCGAGGCUGCCCUAGAACAAGAGGAGAACAAGGUCCUCCGAACACAGCUUGAGCUCAGCCAGGUCAGGCAAGAGAUUGACAGGCGUGUUCAGGAGAAGGAGGAGGAAUUCGACAACACUCGUAAGUGUCACCAAAGGGCUCUUGAUUCCAUGCAAGCUUCUCUUGAGGUUGAAGCCAAGGGUAAGGCCGAGGCUCUUCGCAUAAAGAAAAAGCUCGAGUCCGAUAUUAACGAGCUUGAAAUUGCCCUUGACCACGCCAAUAAGGCCAAUUCUGAUCUUCAAAAACACUACAAGAAGAUCCAGGAUGAAAUAAAGAGUAUGGAGUCCCGUGUUAAGGAAGAGCAACGUCUUGCCUCCGGGUACCGCGAGCAGUAUGGUAUUGCCGAACGCCGUUUCAACGCCCUCUACGGUGAGCUGCAAGAAUCCCGAACUCUCCUGGAACAGUCUGACCGCGGUCGUCGUCAUGCUGAGACUGAGCUCAACGAUGCACGCGAACAGAUCAACAACCUCACCACCCAGAAUGCUGCUCUCACUGCCUCCAAAAGGAAACUUGAGGGUGAAAUGCAGACCCUGCAGGCUGACCUUGAGGAGAUGCUCAGCGAAGCCAAGAACUCUGAGGAGAAGGCGAAGAAGGCCAUGCUAGAUGCUGCUCGCCUUGCUGAUGAGCUCCGUUCUGAACAAGAGCACGCCACUAACCAAGAGAAGAUGCGUAAGGCCUUGGAAGGUACCGUCAAGGAUCUCCAGACCCGUCUUGAGGAAAGUGAGGCCGCUGCCCUUAAGACUGGUAAGAAGGCUGUCAGCGAUUUUGAAGCUCGCAUUCGCGAACUCGAGGCUUCCCUGGACGAUGAGACCCGUCGUCACGCUGAUGCCCAGAAGAACCUGAGGAAGUGCGAGAGGCGCAUCAAGGAGCUCGCCUUCCAGACUGACGAGGACAAGAAGAACCACGACAGGAUGCAGGACCUCGUCGAUAAGCUCCAGCAGAAGAUCAAGACCUACAAGCGCCAGAUCGAGGAGGCUGAGGAGAUCGCCGCCCUCAACCUGGCCAAGUUCCGCAAGGCUCAACAAGAGCUUGAGGAAUCUGGCUGAAGUAUACUGUCAAAUACAUCUAGACAUAUGCCAGAUGUUCAUAACAAAUAAACAGUAAUAAAUGC
Molecule: non-coding RNA, 5848 nt
Organism: Penaeus vannamei (Pacific white shrimp)
Lineage: Eukaryota; Metazoa; Arthropoda; Malacostraca; Decapoda; Penaeidae
Source: RefSeq, a predicted model, not a curated record